RNAcentral lists this ribosomal RNA (506 nucleotides) under uncultured bacterium. Its description in RNAcentral is "partial 16S ribosomal RNA". It matches the Rfam family "Bacterial small subunit ribosomal RNA", at positions 30 to 523 of the family's 1533-position model. The record is from RNAcentral.
AUUGAACGCUGGCGGCAGGCCUAACACAUGCAAGUCGAACGGUAACAGGAAGCAGCUUGCUGCUUCGCUGACGAGUGGCGGACGGGUGAGUAAUGUCUGGGAAACUGCCUGAUGGAGGGGGAUAACUACUGGAAACGGUAGCUAAUACCGCAUAACGUCGCAAGAACAAAGAGGGGGACCUUCGGGCCUCUUGCCAUCGGAUGUGCCCAGAUGGGAUUAGCUAGUAGGUGGGGUAACGGGUGACCUAGGCGACGAUCCCUAGCUGGUCUGAGAGGAUGACCGGCCACACUGGAACUGAGACACGGUCCAGACUCCUACGGGAGGCAGCAGUGGGGAAUAUUGCACAAUGGGCGCAAGCCUGAUGCAUCCAUGCCGCGUGUAUGAAGAAGGCCUUCGGGUUGUAAAGUACUUUCAGCGGGGAGGAAGGCGAUAAGGUUAAUAACCUUGUCGAUUGACGUUACCCGCAGAAGAAGCACCGGCUAACUCCGUGCCAGCCGCCGCGGUAA